AUGGCUUCUGACUUGUGGACGUUGCAAAACCCUGUCUUUGCGUUUUACUCGUUCUGUGCCUCCGUAUUGCUGUUCAAAACGUUAAUUAUGUCCAUUUACACUGGACGUACAAGACACAAGUAUAAGAGCUUUUCCUGGCCCGAGGAUAAUGUGAUGCAUGGAAUAAAAGAAGAGGUGAAGCCACCUCACCCUGCUGUGGAACGAAUUCGCAGUUGUCACCGAAAUGAUCUUGAAAACAUUGUGCCAUUCUGCAUAAUUGGUCUUCUUUACACCUUGACAAAUCCCUCUCUGCUGACAGCGAGGUUACUUUUUGGUGCAUAUACAGUGGCUCGUUUAUUUCACACAGUUGUCUUUGUGAAGCUACAUCUGCAGCCUUAUCGUGCCUUUUCCUUUUUGUUUUCCUAUUUCAUUACUUUUGUUCUGCUCAUUUCCUUUUUUAUACAUGUACUGAGUUAUAUCUAGUGUAGCUCUACUGCUACCAAAUUACUGUUGAGUUCUUGAGCAUGAAUAUACCAAAUGUUCUUCGCUAAAUGAAAGUAAUUUUUGAUACUUAAGAUCAUGAUAAUUAACCUACUGGGUUUUCUAUUAGGGGGCUAAUUUAAUUAGAUCAAUAAAAUCAUUCAUAGUUUUUUCCAAAAUCCAGAGAAAUUAGGCGAUGAAAUGAAGACAUAUCUUAGACAAUAGUAUAUUAAUUUGAUAUUAAUAUUAAUAGUGUGAGUACUAAUAUCUAGAGAUUUUUGAAAUAGAUUUAUUUUUAGUAAUCUAAAUAUCUAACAAUUGAAAUACCAAUGUGUUCUAUUUUUGUACCCACUAAGGGAGGGUAAUUUGGGUAAAGUCAAUAAAAAUUUAAGUCAAUACAGCCAAUAAAUAUUUAAAUUCACCUCUGAAAAUAGACAUUUUAUUUUAAAUUCCCCCUCACUUAUCAACACUGAACAGCUGUAAACUUUUACAGCCAAUCUUUGACGUUAGACUCAAUAGACUGACUGACUAAGUCAUUGCGUGAUGCAUGCUGUGGGCAUCCCCCCCACACACCCUCAGGGUAAAUUUUGAAGUACACGCUCUUUGGACCUUUGGUCUUAGUUCUGACACUAUAAUUUGUAACUUUUGGUUGUAAAUUCUGUCCUCUGUAGUAUAUAAAUUGUUUUCUAUUUACGAUGGCGCAAGAUUUGUGGUCGCUGCAAAACCCUGUUUUUGCUUUCUACGUCCUCUGCUCUUCCGUGUUGCUGUUCAAAACAUUGUUCAUGGCCAUUUUGACUGGAUAUGUGAGAAUAACGUACAAGAGCUAUUCAUGGGCAGAAGACAAUGUUUCUGCAGGAGUUAAAGAGGUUAAACCAGAACACCCUGUUGUGGAACGCGUGCGCGGAUGCCAUCGGAAUGACAUUGAAAACAAUGUGCCAUUUGGUAUAAUCGGUCUGCUUUACACCCUGACAAAUCCAUCUGUGUGGAUAGCCAGGUUACUGCUUAGUGGGUUUACAGUGCUACGUUUACUUCAUACAAUCAUCUUUUUGAAGCAACUCGGACAACCUUAUCGAUUCCUUUCCUUUCUGUUUGCUCUCAUCAUUAAUUUUAUAAUGCUUAUCUCUGUUUUCAUACAUGCACUGCCACUGAUAAUCUAGUUUUGAAAUAUUUUGCUUUCUGAAAUCACAUCUGAAAUUGCAUGUAUAAACGUGAUUACAUACACAAAU
This is a long non-coding RNA of Dendronephthya gigantea, 1685 nucleotides long. RefSeq lists it as uncharacterized. The record is from RefSeq and is a predicted model, not a curated record. NCBI's taxonomy places the organism in Eukaryota, Metazoa, Cnidaria, Anthozoa, Malacalcyonacea, Nephtheidae. The transcript is spliced from 5 exons.